AUGGUGGAGAGACUGAACCAGCCAAGUCGCGUGAAGGAAGACGGCUCUAGAGUGUGUAAACUUCUGUUUGUACAUGGAGUAAAGUGAGACACGUGUGUGAUAUUGCAAGUACUGUACGAAUAAGCAUCGGCUAACUCCGUGCCAGCAGCCGCGGUAAUACGGAAGGAUGCAAGCCGUUAUCCGGAUUUAUUGGGUUUAAAGGGUGCGUAGGCGGUAUGACAAGUCAGGGGUGAAAUCUGGUGCUUAACAUUAAGAUUGCCUUUGAAACUGUGGUACUUGAGUGUAAAAGAUGUAGGCGGAAUGUGUUGUGUAGCGGUGAAAUGCAUAGAUAUAACACAGAAACCCCGAUUGCGAAGGCAGCUUACUAUCAUACAACUGACGCUGAUGCACGAUGCGUGGGGAUCAUACAGGAUUAGAUACCCUGGUAGUCCACGCAGUAAACGAUGAUUAGCUAGCUGUUAGCGAUAUACUGUUAGUGGGCUAAGCGAAAGCGAUAAGUACAUCCACCUGGGGGAGUACGUUCGCAAGAAUGAAACUCAAA
RNAcentral lists this ribosomal RNA (541 nucleotides) under Bacteroidetes bacterium oral taxon 274. Its description in RNAcentral is "bacterial SSU rRNA". It matches the Rfam family "Bacterial small subunit ribosomal RNA", at positions 371 to 905 of the family's 1533-position model. The record is from RNAcentral. Lineage: Bacteria; Pseudomonadati; Bacteroidota.